GACGAACGCUGGCGGCGUGCCUAAUACAUGCAAGUCGAACGCUUUUUCUUUCACCGAGACUUGUCUCACCGAAAGAAAAAGAGUGGCGAACGGGUGAGUAACACGUGGGUAACCUGCCCUCGAGAAGGGGAUAACACUUGGAAACAGGUGCUAAUACCGUAUAACAAUAACUGCCGCAUGGCAGGUAUUUGAAAGGCGCUUUUGCGUCACUCGAGGAUGGACCCGCGGUGCAUUAGCUAGUUGGUGAGGUAACGGCUCACCAAGGCGACGAUGCAUAGCCGACCUGAGAGGGUGAUCGGCCACACUGGGACUGAGACACGGCCCAGACUCCUACGGGAGGCAGCAGUAGGGAAUCUUCGGCAAUGGACGAAAGUCUGACCGAGCAACGCCGCGUGAGUGAAGAAGGUUUUCGGAUCGUAAAACUCUGUUGUUAGAGAAGAACAAGGAUGAGAGUAGAACGUUCAUCCCUUGACGGUAUCUAACCAGAAAGCCACGGCUAACUACGUGCCAGCAGCCGCGGUAAUACGUAGGUGGCAAGCGUUGUCCGGAUUUAUUGGGCGUAAAGCGAGCGCAGGCGGUUCUUUAAGUCUGAUGUGAAAGCCCCCGGCUCAACCGGGGAGGGUCAUUGGAAACUGGAGAACUUGAGUGCAGAAGAGGAGAGUGGAAUUCCAUGUGUAGCGGUGAAAUGCGUAGAUAUAUGGAGGAACACCAGUGGCGAAGGCGGCUCUCUGGUCUGUAACUGACGCUGAGGCUCGAAAGCGUGGGGAGCAAACAGG
This 776-nucleotide ribosomal RNA is filed under the name uncultured Enterococcus sp. RNAcentral describes it as "bacterial SSU rRNA". It matches the Rfam family "Bacterial small subunit ribosomal RNA", at positions 28 to 776 of the family's 1533-position model. Lineage: Bacteria; Bacillati; Bacillota; Bacilli; Lactobacillales; Enterococcaceae. The record is from RNAcentral.